RNAcentral lists this ribosomal RNA (497 nucleotides) under uncultured bacterium. RNAcentral's name for it is "partial 16S ribosomal RNA". It matches the Rfam family "Bacterial small subunit ribosomal RNA", at positions 28 to 507 of the family's 1533-position model. The record is from RNAcentral.
GAUGAACGCUGGCGGCGUGCCUAAUACAUGCAAGUCGAGCGAACAGAUGAGGAGCUUGCUCCUCUGACGUUAGCGGCGGACGGGUGAGUAACACGUGGAUAACCUACCUAUAAGACUGGGAUAACUUCGGGAAACCGGAGCUAAUACCGGAUAAUAUAUUGAACCGCAUGGUUCAAUAGUGAAAGACGGUUUUGCUGUCACUUAUAGAUGGAUCCGCGCCGCAUUAGCUAGUUGGUAAGGUAACGGCUUACCAAGGCAACGAUGCGUAGCCGACCUGAGAGGGUGAUCGGCCACACUGGAACUGAGACACGGUCCAGACUCCUACGGGAGGCAGCAGUAGGGAAUAUUCCGCAAUGGGCGAAAGCAUGACGGAGCAACGCCGCGUGAGUGAUGAAGGUCUUCGGAUCGUAAAACUCUGUUAUUAGGGAAGAACAAAUGUGUAAGUAACUAUGCACGUCUUGACGGUACCUAAUCAGAAAGCCACGGCUAACUACGUG